RNAcentral lists this ribosomal RNA (196 nucleotides) under uncultured Enterococcus sp. RNAcentral's name for it is "partial 16S ribosomal RNA". It matches the Rfam family "Bacterial small subunit ribosomal RNA", at positions 335 to 523 of the family's 1533-position model. The record is from RNAcentral. Lineage: Bacteria; Bacillati; Bacillota; Bacilli; Lactobacillales; Enterococcaceae.
ACUCCUACGGGAGGCAGCAGUAGGGAAUCUUCGGCAAUGGACGAAAGUCUGACCGAGCAACGCCGCGUGAGUGAAGAAGGUUUUCGGAUCGUAAAACUCUGUUGUUAGAGAAGAACAAGGAUGAGAGUAACUGUUCAUCCCUUGACGGUAUCUAACCAGAAAGCCACGGCUAACUACGUGCCAGCAGCCGCGGUAA